AUUGAACGCUGGCGGCAUGCCUUACACAUGCAAGUCGAACGGCAGCACGGGUGCUUGCACCUGGUGGCGAGUGGCGAACGGGUGAGUAAUACAUCGGAACAUGUCCUGUAGUGGGGGAUAGCCCGGCGAAAGCCGGAUUAAUACCGCAUACGAUCCACGGAUGAAAGCGGGGGACCUUCGGGCCUCGCGCUAUAGGGUUGGCCGAUGGCUGAUUAGCUAGUUGGUGGGGUAAAGGCCUACCAAGGCGACGAUCAGUAGCUGGUCUGAGAGGACGACCAGCCACACUGGGACUGAGACACGGCCCAGACUCCUACGGGAGGCAGCAGUGGGGAAUUUUGGACAAUGGGCGAAAGCCUGAUCCAGCAAUGCCGCGUGUGUGAAGAAGGCCUUCGGGUUGUAAAGCACUUUUGUCCGGAAAGAAAUCCUUGACUCUAAUACAGUCGGGGGAUGACGGUACCGGAAGAAUAAGCACCGGCUAACUGCGUG
RNAcentral lists this ribosomal RNA (486 nucleotides) under uncultured bacterium. Its description in RNAcentral is "partial 16S ribosomal RNA". It matches the Rfam family "Bacterial small subunit ribosomal RNA", at positions 30 to 507 of the family's 1533-position model. The record is from RNAcentral.